UAGAAUAGUAUUUAAAAACUAUAAAAUCUAAAUUGCACCUAGACAUUGCAUAAGCCUAUUCUAU
This 64-nucleotide transfer RNA is filed under the name Ogadenus brumpti ssp. 1 BJM-2017. RNAcentral's name for it is "Argas brumpti ssp. 1 BJM-2017 tRNA-Ala". Lineage: Eukaryota; Metazoa; Arthropoda; Arachnida; Ixodida; Argasidae. The record is from RNAcentral.